Molecule: long non-coding RNA, 3216 nt
Organism: Trachemys scripta elegans
Lineage: Eukaryota; Metazoa; Chordata; Testudines; Emydidae
Exons: 6
Source: RefSeq, a predicted model, not a curated record
CGGAGCCGGACUCGGCGGGGACCGGCCGGGCUCAGCAGUGGGCGGGGCUGCGGGUAUUUCGGUCUGAGGGCCCGCUGCUUUCAGCCCUGCGCCGGGCGGGCCCCCGAUCGAGCCGUUCCGACCCCCGCCAGGGCCGCGCUGCCAGCGCCGGGGGCUGCGGCCGGGGGCCGCGCUGGGCCGGUUGUGCUGGCUGCUCCCGAGCCGCGCGGUCCCGUCCUGAUACGCUCUGGCGCUUUCCCCCGUUUUCUUGUAGCUACGAUAGCCGGGCCGGCAGGGAGACUCUCCGUGCCGAAGGAGAGGUCUGCAGGAGGAAGUUGUUAGAAAACAGGCUUCAUAAUGGAAACUGUGUUGCAAUUUCAACCUUGCUAUAAUUGCUGCCACCCAGGAUAACUGGAAAAGUAAUGACACCGUUCAAAAGUUGCCUAAGUAUUUCCACUCUGAUUUCGACUGGCCUUUGGGGGUGCUGAAGAAAAAAAUAAUGUUGUUCAACAUAGCGUAAGCUGUUCAGAAGAAAAGUGGAGAAUUUGAUGUAAGUUUUAUAUUUCUGCUUCUGCAUCAUGAUCUAUGAGAUUAGAAGUGUACAUGUUUAUAUUUUGAGACUCGUGAUGAAAGAAUAUUGAUUAUUGCAUUGGAGCCAAGUGCUGUCUUGCCCUGGCUAAGGGUGUCUUAUCAACGGAUCAUGUCCUGAUUUUGCCAGUUGCAGGUAGGGUUAUAGCACAGCAGUGUAAGAAUACAACCUCAACUGCUUUGAAAGGGGACAGGUCACAUUUAAACCUAAGCAUAGGCAAACUCCCCUCUUCUCUUUUUUUCCUCCUUGGCAUCCCACAUGGUAGAUAAAAAUUCCGUGAGCAGUAGAUGGGGAACAGGACAAAAGUAAAACCCCUGUGACCACUUAAAUGGCCACUUGAACAUGCUAAUUUUUCCUGUUACAGCAAGUGCACAGAGCUGAGUUUGUUGAAGGACAAUGACAAUAGACAAGAACAUUUAUUGUCUUCAACUGAUAAAGACCAGAGGAGCUUCAUAUAAUUCAGGAGGCUUUCCUCUCUAUUUGGGGUACUGAGAUAUACAGCACAUACUUUUAAGCUUUUCUGCCUGACCAAAUCUUUGGUCAGUGUUCACAAACAUGGAUAGUCAGUGACCAGUUUCUGCUGAACUGAUUAUGGAAGGGUGCAUUGUGGUGGUUUUCUGCUUGGCGGAUCUGUGACAGUGUCAGAGCGGCCUCAACCUACCACAAAGAGUAUAAAGGAGAAGGACAGUCAUGAAAACUUUUCCAGAACUUUUUGUUUUCAGUUAUUCUUCCAGCUCCUACAAGGCAGACCUGCCUCAUAAGUUUAAGUCUGUAGAGACAGUUGAUCAUCUGUCUCACAUGAUGACAAACAGUACUGAGGGGUGUGCAAACCUCCAUGAUGGAUUUAUUGCCUUAUCUAGAAGAAUAGUAUGCUUUGUGUCUUUUUCUUAUUGUGUCCUCCAUCUCCAGGUGAUUCCUGUACCACUCACUGUUGUGCUACUGAAGACAUUAGAGUCCUCUAUUGUACAAGUGCAAAAACAACAGAUCGAAUUACUAGAAAUCCCAGAGCACUCCGAUAUCACGCAAGUGAGACAUAGACUUCAUUCAAGAGGCAAUGAGACCUAUUCUUCAGUGGAUAUCCAGUUUGCUGCAACUGUUUGAACUCGUCCCCACCUGCACCAGGGGUUCUGGUGUCCCAGCUCUGAGGCCUGGUCUACACUACAGAGUUUGUUUGCAAGGCAGCUUACGUUGACCUAAUUCUGUAAGCGUCUACACUAAAAUGUUGCUCCUGCCGAUGUAACUCGCCCUCUCCACCGACUUAGUAACUCCACCUCCACGAGAGGCGUGGUGCUUAGGUCAACAUAGUUUGGUUGACACAAUAUCAGUGACACUGCAUUACUUAUGUCUACUUUAGUGGCUUCCAGGAGGUGUCCCACGAUGCCCCAGCAUAACUGCUCUGGUCACCUAUUAGAACUCCGCUGCCUGGCAGUCAGGUAUGCAUGUACAUGUCCCUCCCCCUUUAAAGCCCCGCCAAUUUUAAAUUCUAUUUCAUGUUUGGUUGGUAUAGAGAGCUCACAUAGCAACUGCCCAGCUGACCAUGCUGGCGCCACGCAGCAAAGGUGCUCUUGCCAGGAGUACACAGCAGCUGGUGGAUCUCCAGGGUCUGUGGGGAGAAGAGGCUGUGCAGGCACAGGUCUGAUCCAUCUGUAGAAACGUUGACAUCUAUGGCCAGAUCGCUGGGGGCAUGGCGGAGAAGGGCUACAACCGGCACAUGCAGCAGUGCCGUGUAAAAAUCAAGGAGUUGCUGCAGGUGUACCAGAAGGUAAGGGAGGCAAACUGUCACUCUGGUGUGGAACUGCAGACAGGCUGGUUCUACACGGAGCUGCAAGCCUUCCUUGGGGGAAACCACCACCACGAGCCCCGUGGAUAUUUCAGGGGAGCUGGAAGCAGCGGCCCCUGCAGUGCACACUGAGGAGGAGGUGAUGCACGAGGAGGAGUAGUUUUGGAGGACAGGCGACUGGGGGAAUGCUGUGGUGCAGUGAGCCAGGACCUCUUUCUGAACGCCGGAGAGUCCCUACUAUCCAGCACCAGCGAGCCUGAUGCAAGGGAUGGAACCUCUACUGGAAAUGUGGCCUUGAGGUUCUCUCCAUCCACACCACUGGCGUGGCUCAGAUGAUGAGAAGAAAGGGGAUGAGGGACAUGUUCCACGAGAUCCUGCAAGCCUCUGGUGUUGCACAUACCGAGCAGAGGGCUUGGAGGAGCACCCUUGUGGACAGAAUGGAAAGGGAUAGUGCAGAGAGGAGGAAAAGGACAGACACAUGCAGCAAGUCAUGUUAGCGCUUCUCAAGCGCCAGAUGGACAUGCUGGAGAUUCUUAUAGACCUGUAAGUCCAAGUAAUCCUUGCUUGCCUCCCGCUGCAGUCUAUCAAUAACUGCAUUCUGGGACCUCCCUAUGCUCCCUGACCCUACAUUCCACAUAUGUUUCAUGGCCACUGCAUUACCCCUACCACUCCACCCCGAGGGAGAGUACACACAAUCAGAGCUGCACGUACACUGACCUAUGAGAGAGACGGUUGGUGUAUUUGUGUUUGAAAUGAGAAUGACUGUUCUUUCCCCGUCAAAGGUUCUUUUCCCUGUAUUUAUAUAGUUUCAUUCAGUUACAGUUAUUUUUGUUUGCAUGAGUUUGGAAUAAAAGUCUAUUUAUGGAAA